AAGAGACUUAGUCCCAACCUUGCCGUUAACUACCACCAAACACAUACAUGCAAGUAUCCGCAUCCCAGUGCAAACGCCCCCGCCUCGCUUGCUCAAGGCCGGGGAGCCGGCAUCAGGCACACAAUAGGCCAUGUAGCCCAAGACGCCUAGCACUAGCCACACCCCCACGGGUAUUCAGCAGUAGUCAGUAUUGAGCAAUGAGCGCAAGCUCGACUCAGUUAUGGUCACACCCCAGGGUUGGUAAAUCUUGUGCCAGCCACCGCGGUCAUACAAGAAACCCAAGUUAACAGCAAACGGCGUAAAGAGUGGCAUCACAGUGUCCUACCAAUUGGGGCUGAGAUGUGACCAAGCUGUCGCACGCUCAGAGCACACUCAAAACCACCAUUAACAUGGCCCCAACUCACACCCGACGAACAAACUCCACGAAAGCCAGGACUCAAACUGGGAUUAGAUACCCCACUAUGCCUGGCCCUAAACCUAGGCGCCUGCCACCUCAACCCGAGGCGCCCGCCAGAGCAUUACGAGCACAAACGCUUGAAACUCUAAGGACUUGGCGGUGCCCCAAACCCACCUAGAGGAGCCUGUCCUAUAAUCGACAACCCACGAUACACCCGACCGCCCCUUGCACAGCCAGCCUACAUACCGCCGUCGCCAGCCCACCUCCUGAGAGUACAGCAGUGGGCGCAAGAGCAACCCCGCUAACAAGACAGGUCAAGGUAUAGCCCAUGGGGCGGAAGAGAUGGGCUACAUUCUCUACAGUAGAGAACCCAACGAACGGGGGCAUGAAAUUCUGCCCCCCAAAGGCGGAUUUAGCAGUAAGAGCAGCCCCACGAAACUGCCCUUAAAAAGGCCCUGGGACACGUACAUACCGCCCGUCACCCUCACCACAAACCACCUUCACCCAUUCCUAAUACCACCACCGGCCAAAGAUGAGGUAAGUCGUAACAAGGUAAGUGUACCGGAAGGUGCACUUGGCACACC
Molecule: non-coding RNA, 981 nt
Filed under: Glaucidium brasilianum (ferruginous pygmy-owl)
Lineage: Eukaryota; Metazoa; Chordata; Aves; Strigiformes; Strigidae
Description: 12S ribosomal RNA
Rfam family: Bacterial small subunit ribosomal RNA
Source: RNAcentral